AACGUAGGACACGAGCGUUAUCCGGAGUUACUGGGCGUAAAGCGCAGGCAGGCGGUUGGGAAAGUCUGACGUGAAAGCUCCUGGCUCAACCGGGAGAGGCCGUUGGAAACUGGCCAACUGGAGGGUGGUAGAGGCGCGUGGAAUUCCGGGUGGAGUGGUGAAAUACGUAGAGAUCCGGAGGAACACCAGUGGCGAAGGCGGCGCGCUGGGCCACACCUGACGCUGAACUGCGAAAGCCAGGGUAGCGAACAGG
Molecule: ribosomal RNA, 253 nt
Filed under: uncultured bacterium
Lineage: Bacteria
Description: partial 16S ribosomal RNA
Rfam family: Bacterial small subunit ribosomal RNA
Source: RNAcentral